This 21-nucleotide non-coding RNA is filed under the name Arabidopsis thaliana (thale cress). The record is from RNAcentral. Lineage: Eukaryota; Viridiplantae; Streptophyta; Magnoliopsida; Brassicales; Brassicaceae.
UAAAAUCGGAUGUUUUCAGCU